Molecule: ribosomal RNA, 520 nt
Filed under: uncultured bacterium
Lineage: Bacteria
Description: bacterial SSU rRNA
Rfam family: Bacterial small subunit ribosomal RNA
Source: RNAcentral
CCAGAGAACUUAGCAGAGAUGCUUUGGUGCCUUCGGGAACUCUGAGACAGGUGCUGCAUGGCUGUCGUCAGCUCGUGUUGUGAAAUGUUGGGUUAAGUCCCGCAACGAGCGCAACCCUUAUCCUUGUUGCCAGCGGCUCGGCCGGGAACUCAAAGGAGACUGCCGGUGAUAAACCGGAGGAAGGUGGGGAUGACGUCAAGUCAUCAUGGCCCUUACGGCCAGGGCUACACACGUGCUACAAUGGCGCAUACAAAGAGAAGCGACCUCGCGAGAGCAAGCGGACCUCAUAAAGUGCGUCGUAGUCCGGAUUGGAGUCUGCAACUCGACUCCAUGAAGUCGGAAUCGCUAGUAAUCGUAGAUCAGAAUGCUACGGUGAAUACGUUCCCGGGCCUUGUACACACCGCCCGUCACACCAUGGGAGUGGGUUGCAAAAGAAGUAGGUAGCUUAACCUUCGGGAGGGCGCUUACCACUUUGUGAUUCAUGACUGGGGUGAAGUCGUAACAAGGUAAGCGUAGCGAG